AGAGUUUGAUCCUGGCUCAGGAUGAACGCUAGCGGCAGGCCUAACACAUGCAAGUCGAGGGGUAGAAGUAGCUUGCUACUUUGAGACCGGCGCACGGGUGCGUAACGCGUAUGCAAUCUACCUUAUACAAGGGGAUAGCCCGAAGAAAUUUGGAUUAAUACCCUAUAGUAUUAUCGACCGGCAUCGGUUGAUAAUUAAAAUUCCGAUGGUAUAAGAUGAGCAUGCGUCCUAUUAGCUGGUUGGUGUGGUAACGGCACACCAAGGCGACGAUAGGUAGGGGUCCUGAGAGGGAGAUCCCCCACACUGGUACUGAGACACGGACCAGACUCCUACGGGAGGCAGCAGUGAGGAAUAUUGGACAAUGGGCGCAAGCCUGAUCCAGCCAUGCCGCGUGCAGGAAGACUGCCCUAUGGGUUGUAAACUGCUUUUAAACGGGAAGAAACCCUCCGACGUGUCGGAGUUU
Molecule: ribosomal RNA, 463 nt
Filed under: uncultured bacterium
Lineage: Bacteria
Description: bacterial SSU rRNA
Rfam family: Bacterial small subunit ribosomal RNA
Source: RNAcentral